AUUGAACGCUGGCGGCAGGCCUAACACAUGCAAGUCGAGCGGAGCGGCGGACGGGUGAUUAAUGCCUAGGAAUCUGCCUGGUAGUGCGGGAUAACGUCCGGAAACGGGCGCUAAUACCGCAUACUAUCAGAUGAGCCUAGGUCGGAUUAGCUUGUGGGUGGGGUAAAGGCCUACCAAGGCGACGAUCCGUAACUGGUCUGAGAGGAUGAUCAGUCACACUGGAACUGAGACACGGUCCAGACUCCUACGGGAGGCAGCAGUGGGGAAUAUUGGACAAGGGGCGAAAGCCUGAUCCAGCCAUGCCGCGUGUGUGAAGAAGGUCUUCGGAUUGUAAAGCACUUUAAGUUGGGAGGCGGAAAAAAAAGAAUAAGCACCGGCUAACUUCGUGCCAGCAGGAGCGGUAAUAG
This 407-nucleotide ribosomal RNA is filed under the name uncultured bacterium. RNAcentral describes it as "partial 16S ribosomal RNA". It matches the Rfam family "Bacterial small subunit ribosomal RNA", at positions 30 to 526 of the family's 1533-position model. The record is from RNAcentral.